UACGAAGGGGGCUAGCGUUGCUCGGAAUUACUGGGCGUAAAGCGUGCGUAGACGGCUAUCUAAGUCGGGUGUGAAAGCCCCGGGCUCAACCUGGGAAUUGCAUUCGAGACUGAAUAGCUAGGGUACGGUAGAGGGAAGUGGAAUUCCCGGUGUAGUGGUGAAAUGCGUAGAGAUCGGGAGGAACACCAGUGGCGAAGGCGACUUCCUGGCCUGUUCUUGACGCUGAGGCGCGAAAGCUAGGGGAGCAAACGGG
Molecule: ribosomal RNA, 253 nt
Filed under: uncultured bacterium
Lineage: Bacteria
Description: partial 16S ribosomal RNA
Rfam family: Bacterial small subunit ribosomal RNA
Source: RNAcentral